This 496-nucleotide ribosomal RNA is filed under the name uncultured bacterium. RNAcentral describes it as "partial 16S ribosomal RNA". It matches the Rfam family "Bacterial small subunit ribosomal RNA", at positions 30 to 523 of the family's 1533-position model. The record is from RNAcentral.
AUUGAACGCUGGCGGAAUGCUUUACACAUGCAAGUCGAACGGUAGAGGGGGCAACCCCUCGAGAGUGGCGAACGGGUGAGUAAUAUAUCGGAACGUGCCCAGUCGUGGGGGAUAACGUAGCGAAAGUUACUCUAAUACCGCAUACGAUCUAAGGAUGAAAGCGGGGGAUCGCAAGACCUCGCGCGAUUGGAGCGGCCGAUAUCAGAUUAGGUAGUUGGUGGGGUAAAGGCUCACCAAGCCAACGAUCUGUAGCUGGUCUGAGAGGACGACCAGCCAAACUGGAACUGAGACACGGUCCAGACUCCUACGGGAGGCAGCAGUGGGGAAUUUUGGACAAUGGACGCAAGUCUGAUCCAGCCAUUCCGCGUGCAGGAUGAAGGCCCUCGGGUUGUAAACUGCUUUUGUACGGAACGAAAAGGUCUCUCUUAAUACGGGGGGCUCAUGACGGUACCGUAAGAAUAAGCACCGGCUAACUACGUGCCAGCAGCCGCAGUAA